CGUAACAAGGUCUCCGUUGGUGAACCAGCGGAGGGAUCAUUACUGAGUUACCGCUCUAUAACCCUUUGUGAACAUACCUAACUGUUGCUUCGGCGGGCAGGGGGUGCCGCCUGCGGACCCCCCUCCCGGCCCUGCCCUCACGGGCGGAGCGCCCGCCGGAGGAUACCAAACUCUAUUUUAACGACGUUUCUUCUGAGUGGCACAAGCAAAUAAUUAAAACUUUCAACAACGGAUCUCUUGGUUCUGGCAUCGAUGAAGAACGCAGCGAAAUGCGAUAAGUAAUGUGAAUUGCAGAAUUCAGUGAAUCAUCGAAUCUUUGAACGCACAUUGCGCCCGCCAGCAUUCUGGCGGGCAUGCCUGUUCGAGCGUCAUUUCAACCCUCAAGCUCUGCUUGGUGUUGGGGCCCUACGGUUGACGUAGGCCCUUAAAGGUAGUGGCGGACCCUCUCGGAGCCUCCUUUGCGUAGUAACUAACGUCUCGCACUGGGAUUCGGAGGGACUCUUGCCGUAAAACCCCCAAAUUUUUAAAGGUUGACCUCGGAUCAGGUAGGAAUACCCGCUGAACUUAAGCAUA
Molecule: ribosomal RNA, 573 nt
Filed under: Colletotrichum coccodes
Lineage: Eukaryota; Fungi; Ascomycota; Sordariomycetes; Glomerellales; Glomerellaceae
Description: eukaryotic LSU rRNA
Rfam family: 5.8S ribosomal RNA (bases 218-371)
Source: RNAcentral